This is a small nuclear RNA of Myxocyprinus asiaticus (Chinese sucker), 160 nucleotides long. RefSeq annotates it as U1 spliceosomal RNA. NCBI's taxonomy places the organism in Eukaryota, Metazoa, Chordata, Actinopteri, Cypriniformes, Catostomidae. The transcript has a single exon. The record is from RefSeq and is a predicted model, not a curated record.
UUACUUACCUGGCAGGGAGACACUAUGAUCAUGAAGGUGGUUCACCCAGGGUGAGGCUCAGCCAUUGCACUCCGGUUGUACUGACCCCUGCGAAUUCCCCAAAUGUGGGAAUUUUGACUGCAUAAUUUCUGGUAGUAGGGAACUGCGUUCACGCUCUCAG